GAGAAGGCUAUGUUGGCCGGGCGACGGUUGUCCCGGUUUAAGCGUGUAGGCUGGUUUUCCAGGCAAAUCCGGAAAAUCAAGGCUGAGGCGUGAUGACGAGGCACUACGGUGCUGAAGCAACAAAUGCCCUGCUUCCAGGAAAAGCCUCUAAGCAUCAGGUAACAUCAAAUCGUACCCCAAACCGACACAGGUGGUCAGGUAGAGAAUACCAAGGCGCUUGAGAGAACUCGGGUGAAGGAACUAGGCAAAAUGGUGCCGUAACUUCGGGAGAAGGCACGCUGAUAUGUAGGUGAAGUCCCUCGCGGAUGGAGCUGAAAUCAGUCGAAGAUACCAGCUGGCUGCAACUGUUUAUUAAAAACACAGCACUGUGCAAACACGAAAGUGGACGUAUACGGUGUGACGCCUGCCCGGUGCCGGAAGGUUAAUUGAUGGGGUUAGCGCAAGCGAAGCUCUUGAUCGAAGCCCCGGUAAACGGCGGCCGUAACUAUAACGGUCCUAAGGUAGCGAAAUUCCUUGUCGGGUAAGUUCCGACCUGCACGAAUGGCGUAAUGAUGGCCAGGCUGUCUCCACCCGAGACUCAGUGAAAUUGAACUCGCUGUGAAGAUGCAGUGUACCCGCGGCAAGACGGAAAGACCCCGUGAACCUUUACUAUAGCUUGACACUGAACAUUGAGCCUUGAUGUGUAGGAUAGGUGGGAGGCUUUGAAGUGUGGACGCCAGUCUGCAUGGAGCCGACCUUGAAAUACCACCCUUUAAUGUUUGAUGUUCUAACGUUGACCCGUGAUCCGGGUUGCGGACAGUGUCUGGUGGGUAGUUUGACUGGGGCGGUCUCCUCCUAAAGAGUAACGGAGGAGCACGAAGGUUGGCUAAUCCUGGUCGGACAUCAGGAGGUUAGUGCAAUGGCAUAAGCCAGCUUGACUGCGAGCGUGACGGCGCGAGCAGGUGCGAAAGCAGGUCAUAGUGAUCCGGUGGUUCUGAAUGGAAGGGCCAUCGCUCAACGGAUAAAAGGUACUCCGGGGAUAACAGGCUGAUACCGCCCAAGAGUUCAUAUCGACGGCGGUGUUUGGCACCUCGAUGUCGGCUCAUCACAUCCUGGGGCUGAAGUAGGUCCCAAGGGUAUGGCUGUUCGCCAUUUAAAGUGGUACGCGAGCUGGGUUUAGAACGUCGUGAGACAGUUCGGUCCCUAUCUGCCGUGGGCGCUGGAGAAC
Molecule: ribosomal RNA, 1207 nt
Filed under: Escherichia coli
Lineage: Bacteria; Pseudomonadati; Pseudomonadota; Gammaproteobacteria; Enterobacterales; Enterobacteriaceae
Description: partial 23S ribosomal RNA
Rfam family: Bacterial large subunit ribosomal RNA
Source: RNAcentral